UAACCUGCCUGAUAAAACUGGGAUAACUCCGGGGAAACCGGGGCCUAAUACCGGGAUGGUUGUCUGAACCGCAUGGUUCAGACAUAAAAGGUGGCUUCGGCUACCACUUACAGAUGGACCCGCGGCGCAUUAGCUAGUUGGUGAGGUAACGGCUCACCAAGGCGACGAUGCGUAGCCGACCUGAGAGGGUGAUCGGCCACACUGGGACUGAGACACGGCCCAGACUCCUACGGGAGGCAGCAGUAGGGAAUCUUCCGCAAUGGACGAAAGUCUGACGGAGCAACGCCGCGUGAGUGAUGAAGGUUUUCGGAUCGUAAAGCUCUGUUGUUAGGGAAGAACAAGUGCCGUUCAAAUAGGGCGGCACCUUGACGGUACCUAACCAGAAAGCCACGGCUAACUACGUGCCAGCAGCCGCGGUAAUACGUAGGUGGCAAGCGUUGUCCGGAAUUAUUGGGCGUAAAGGGCUCGCAGGCGGUUUCUUAAGUCUGAUGUGAAAGCCCCCGGCUCAACCGGGGAGGGUCAUUGGAAACUGGGGAACUUGAGUGCAGAAGAGGAGAGUGGAAUUCCACGUGUAGCGGUGAAAUGCGUAGAGAUGUGGAGGAACACCAGUGGCGAAGGCGACUCUCUGGUCUGUAACUGACGCUGAGGAGCGAAAGCGUGGGGAGCGAACAGGAUUAGAUACCCUGGUAGUCCACGCCGUAACGAUGAGUGCUAAGUGUUAGGGGGUUUCCGCCCCUUAGUGCUGCAGCUAACGCAUUAAGCACUCCGCCUGGGGAGUACGGUCGCAAGACUGAAACUCA
RNAcentral lists this ribosomal RNA (800 nucleotides) under Bacillus sp. 42HD10. RNAcentral's name for it is "bacterial SSU rRNA". It matches the Rfam family "Bacterial small subunit ribosomal RNA", at positions 122 to 903 of the family's 1533-position model. The record is from RNAcentral. Lineage: Bacteria; Bacillati; Bacillota; Bacilli; Caryophanales; Bacillaceae.